GCCAUGUCUUCGAGCGCCGCCAACUCCACCCUUUCUGGCCAGAUCACCGAGCGCCUCACCCGAACCAACUACGUCCUAUGGCGUACCCAGAUCACACCACAGCUUCGGGGGGCAGGGUUCUUCGGCUACGUGGACGGCAGCAUGCUAGAGCCAACCAAGGUCAUCGUCAACAAAGACAAGGAUGGCAAGGAGGAGACCAUCCCCAACCCGCUUCACUCGGUUUGGAUCCGAGAUGAUCAGCAGGUGCUUGGUUACCUUCUGAAUAACCUCUCGAAAGAAGUGCUUGUGCAGGUGACCUCGAUCGCCCACGCACAGGAACUCUGGGUAGCGUUGGCGAGCAUGUUCUUG
This 348-nucleotide ribosomal RNA is filed under the name Triticum aestivum (bread wheat). Its description in RNAcentral is "partial small subunit ribosomal RNA". The record is from RNAcentral. Lineage: Eukaryota; Viridiplantae; Streptophyta; Magnoliopsida; Poales; Poaceae.